RNAcentral lists this ribosomal RNA (253 nucleotides) under uncultured bacterium. RNAcentral's name for it is "partial 16S ribosomal RNA". It matches the Rfam family "Bacterial small subunit ribosomal RNA", at positions 524 to 776 of the family's 1533-position model. The record is from RNAcentral.
GACGUAGGGUGCGAGCGUUGUCCGGAUUUCUUGGGCGUAAAGAGCUCGUAGGCGGCUCGUCGCGUCGACCGUGAAAACCCACAGCUUAACUGUGGGCUUGCGGUUGAUACGGGCGGGCUAGAGUUCGGUAGGGGAGACUGGAAUUCCUGGUGUAGCGGUGAAAUGCGUAGAUAUCGUGAGGAAGACCAGUGGCGAAGGCGGGUCUCUGGACAGUUCCUGACGCUGAGGCGCGAAGGCCAGGGGAGCAAACGGG